RNAcentral lists this long non-coding RNA (8272 nucleotides) under Nicotiana tabacum (common tobacco). RNAcentral describes it as "long non-coding RNA (NTAB_LNC017643)". The record is from RNAcentral. Lineage: Eukaryota; Viridiplantae; Streptophyta; Magnoliopsida; Solanales; Solanaceae.
CCCCCCCCCCCCCCUAACUUGAGGUGUUUAAGCUUUUUGGGGGAAAAAGUGAUUUUAGGAAGAAGCAAAAGUAGUUUCUGAGAAGCAGAAAAAAGUAGUUUCUUCCCAAAAGCAGAAGCAGUUUUGACUUUUCUUCUUACCAAAAAUACCCAUAAUAAAAUAUAGUAUAUACUAAAAUAACCGUUAAACCUAAAGCUUAGGAUAUUAAUGUAUAAGUAUUUAUUCUUAUUUUUAUUAUAACUUUCUAAUAUAUAGUGACUUUAGGGGUGAAUACUUUUAUAUUUGUUGAAUGAUUUUUAAUAUAUUUAACUUUUAUUAAAAGAAUUAAGUACUUUUUAAUUUUAUUUUCAUAUUUUAUUUAAAUAAAAUGAAAAGAUUUAAUUAUUGCCUAUAAUAACAAAAUUUUGAGAUUAUUUAAAUACUUAUAAUAUUAACUAUUAAGUAAAUCUAUCCAUGUACUUAUUCGUAAUUUGAUACUUAAAAGCACUUUAUGAAAAGCUUGGCCAAACACAAAUUAUUGUUCAAAAGUGCUUUUCAAAGUGAUUAACCAAACACAAACUGCUUCUCUCCAAAAGUACUUUUUUCAAAAGUACUUCUCAAAAUAAGUAGAUUUCUCCAGCUUGGCCAAAAAUGCUAUAAAAUCUUGAUCCUCAAAUUGCUUAUCAGGCUUAAGAAUUAGGAAUAAGUAUGUGAUCGUACAUUUUCUGAAAUGUUCUCUAACGAGGCUAGUUCUUUUGACAAGAUGCCAACAGCAUAACCUGUCUCUUCCUGAUCAAUUAAGAGCAUAUUGGAGGAUAGUUUGCACUAGGUCGCAAUAGCCUAGUCACAAAUGACUAGUAUUAUACUGCAGUUUUAUCCAACCGACUUAGUUACCUUCAGAUGGUUGUAUACAUUGUCAUGUUUGCUUCAUUCUUUUUUAGUUGGCCUUCAUUAACAAUAGAAAUGAAUUUUAGGAGUUAUUAUAGGAGUUAUUCCAUUGGUUUAUUGUUUAUUUGCUAUAAUGAUCGUGUGGGAAGGGGAGCCUUGGCAUAACUGGUAACGUUACUGCCAUGUGACCAGGAGGUCAUGGGUUCGAGCCGUGGAAAUAACCUCUUGCAGAAAUACAUAGUAAAGCUGCGUAAAAUAGACCCUAGUGGUCCGGCCCUUCCCCAGAUCCCGCGCAUAGUUGGAGCUUAGUACAUCGGGACUAUAAUGAGCGUGUAGAAAUAUCGUGUUUUCUAGUUUUUCCUUUUUUUCUUCUCACAAGCCAAUGGAUUGGCAAAGGUCCAUAUGCUAGCCUAGGCAAGUUGGAUUGAAGUUCAAAGAUGUGAACUUACUAGAUUCAUAUGUCGGAUGGUUAAAUCUUAAGUUGCUCAGAGUCGAGUGUGGGUAUCCGAUACUUGUGCAGAUCUAGAGGUCCAGAUCGUUCAUGAUCUAACUUUUAAGAUUUGAGAAUACAAAUAUGGGUGCGGAGAUUCGGCUAAAAAUAAUUUAAAUAUCUAAAAAUAGAGUUAUAAAACAUCUAAAUUAUGAGAUAUGUGUGGAAAACUUACAAGGUAUUCAGAGAAGGAGAAAAUAUUGAUCAAUGGGAGAAUUCGAGUAGGAGAUAAAAGGUAAAUGACUAACAUAAAAAUUUCUAUAUAUAAGGUAUUCCAUUUUCUUCAAUUUCAGUCUAGCUUUUGUUUUGAUUUCAAGAAUCAUUGUAUCUGUCCGGAAUUUCUUCCAUUAAUUUUGGUCAAAGUACCCAAAAUCUGUUGAUAAGAUCAUGUACGGAUUCCACAUCCCCAUCGACACCCAUAUCGUGUCGACACGAUUACGGCACCGAAAUUGAAGAGUUCGAGCAACUUAGGUUAAAUUACAACCAAAAUGGAGCUAAAUCUAGCAGAGAUCCCGGUUCUGUUGUUGGAUUAAAGCUCUCGCACUUAUCAUUGAAUUCUAUGGAAGUAUCAAGAAACAGGUGAAUGGUUGUUUUACUAUAAAAAUAUAAAAACAAAUUACUAAACAGUACUACUAUUUUAUGUUAUCUCAAUUCGGAAGUUGUCUUCCGGUGAAAAUAAAUAUGAUUUGUCUUUUGGGAAAAUUUUAGAAAUUUAUUUUUUGUAAAAACAUCAAUGGUCAUAUAUCAGAUAUUGUGAUUCAACAAGCUUUCCUAUAUUCUUUGUUCUUCAAAAGUAAUGGGUAUAGUGAAGAGUUCCACAUGGGUGCUUUAGGGGAUGGGUGGUCCCCUUAAGAUGGUUUGGGCAAUCGUCACCUCAUGAACAAGUUUUAGGGGUUGAUUUAGAAAUAAUGUCCAUUUAAUAUGGUAUAAGUGCAGGACCCAUCCCAGUUGUCGUUUCUAGAUGUUGGUCCCCCAUAUUAAAUUGUCCAUGCUUCAAAUGUCCAGUCCUGGGCAUGAUGGGGUUGUGAGGGGCCCAUGUCGGUGCUUUAGCGGAUGGGUGGCCUCCUUAAGAUGGCUUGGGCAAUCCUCACUUCAUGAGCUAGCUUUUUGGGUUGAGUCAGGCCUACGGUCCAUUUAACAUAUAGUCCUGCAAUUACAGUGUCCAACCAUGAAAGUGCGGUUGACUUCUCGUGUCAAUUUAGGUUUUUAGUUUAAAAGGCUUAUACAAAGAAUAAUCGAAUGAGUUAUUUUCAACUUUUAGUUGGUAGAUUCUGUGUCCUAUGUCAAUUUUUAGAGUUAUUAUUACAUUAUUUCAGUGUUCCUCCUUGGCUAUGGUUUUACUGCCUUACUGAUUAUUAUGAAUAUUAAGAUGGCUAUCGUAACUUGAAAGUUGAGAUGAAGUAAUCCUUUUGCAAAUUAUUUCCAAUGACAACUCUCUGCUAUUGCAUGUGAUGUUUAAUCAAGGUCAAGUACCACAAGUUUCGUUUGUUCAUCUCCUUUCAGGAUUUGUAAUUACUGUUAUGGCAUGAUGUUGGAUAUUAAUUGGCAUUUCCUUGCUUUGGUCAAAAGUUGAUUGAAUUUGUUUAUUUCUUGUGCAUCACUUACAGGUUGUUCAGCAACAUCGCUUCUACAGUUAUGUGAAAAACAUGGUCUUGGCUUAACUGUUGAAUGUAUGGCAUUGAGUUCAACAUCUGAUAAUCUCUCUGAGGAACAUUCGCUCCCUCCCUCGGGUGAGGUCAGAGUUGUUCCGGACUUAUCAACCAAAUGCAGACUCCCUUGGUACUAGUUGCAAAUCUACGUAUUAUUUCUUGUAAUAUUCAAGGUUUUCUAAUCUAUUCUCUUGAAUUUAAGCUUAAGAUUUAGCUUCAGUAUGCUGUAUGUUGUCUUUUAUUAAACAGUUGUGUGUAAAUAAUCCUAGUCUCAUGUGUAGUAGGAGUAGAACAUGUACUAUAUAUAGGCUCAGUAUCAUUGUCCCGUGUAUUAUUUCUCACAAUAGUAUCAGAGCGUGAGUGAGAUACAUCCGGGAAAGUUGGACAGUUGUCGUGCGUCAAAUUCUGGUGGCUUUUUGGGGCUGAUUUGCGCCAGAUCAGUCUCUGUUCGUAUUGUGCGAAAACCAACACCACCACAGGGUCCCCAAGGCUUCCACAGCCAAAUCCCAAAAAGAAUUUCCGGCAAUUGACUCCUCACUCGUUCUCAUGCGCCGAUCAGAGGCCAGGUUUUUCGGCGAGAUCUACUCUACGCGCUGGUGCGCGUGGACCCUUUUCCGAUCACUUUUUAAAAAAAAUUCUUUGGAAUAGUAUGGUUGCCUCCCUUUUCCGAGCCUACCCAUACUAUUUUAUUUUUAUUCCGAUCAAUCUAAAAUUUUUGCAGUAGCGAUAGUAGUUUUUCGGCAGCUACAAUAUUUUUCCGGACGACACUCACAUGGAGAAUCCAUGGAAAGGAAAUGUCGGGUCUAGUCACUGUGAGAUAAUUUCAUUUAUCAACCAAUUACCUAUAUCUUGGAGGAUUGCUAAGCGGCCCCCCUGUCCUGGCAGGAGUUUAGAAUUCUGAUCCAUCAGAGUGUCAACAUAUCUACAACCUGUCAUUCAUGUCUGCUCAAGAAUGUCUAAGGCAUACUUUCAAUGUGAGAUCACCAUAUCUGAGCUACACUGAGCGACCUCAAUACCCAAAAAAGUAUAGGCAGACAUGAAGGAAUUUGAGAAGUUGAUGUCAGUUUCUGCUAGUCUUGAAAAGCAACAAGAGCAAUGACAAAAGAUGUUUCUAGUUCUUACACUCGCUGGGCUUCCUAAUGACCUUGAUUCAGUGUUUGACCAGAUUUUGGCUAGUCCGACCGUCCCUACAGUUGAUGAACUAUUCUCUCGAUUACUUUGUCUUGCUGUAGCGCCCAAUCACAUAGUGAUCUCAUCAUAGACAACUGACUCCUAUGUUCUUGCAUCCCAGAUAGUGGAAAAUCUGGUAUCUUAGGACAUGGAGAAUAGACGAGGAGGAGGUCGUUUUGGAAGGUCUCAACCCACGUGUUCUUAUUGUAAUAGGCUUGGGAACACCCAUGAGGUGUGUUACUCUUUGCAUGGUCGACCACGUAAAAUGCUCAUGUUGCUCAAAUAGAGACUGCAGGUAAUCAAAGGUUUUCUUUAUCAGAAGGGGAGUAUAAUGAGUUUCUUCAAUAUCGAGCAAGUAAGCAGACACCUCCACAAGUAGCCUCUAUUGCUCAGACUGAUACUUCUGUUGGUGGUAAUUCCUUUGUUUCUGUUUCCCAGUCUACUACUCUUGGACCAUGGGUCAUAAACUCAUACGCCUUUGAUCAUAUUUCUGGCAAUAAGUCACUUUUGUCAAAGAUUGUUAAUUCUCAGUCUCUUCCCCAUGUUACUUAGCUAAUGGAGUUCAAAACAAAAGCAAAAGGAGUUGGACAAGCUAACCCCUUAUCCUCUGUCACUUUAGAUUCUAUUCUUUAUGUUCCUAGUUGUCCUUUUAAUCUUGCAUCAGUUAGUCGGUUGACUCGCUCCAUCCGUUGUGGUAUAUACUUUAUUGAUGACUCUUUUGUUAUGUAGGACCGCAAUAUGGGACGGAUGAUUGGCACAAGGCCUUUACUACCUUGACUCACUCAAUCCUUCCACAACAUGUCCAGUUACAUAUUCUCCAGACCUAAUUCACAGACGUUUAAGACACCCAAGUUUAUCCAAGUUUCAAAAGAUGGUGCCUAGUCUAUCUAGUUUGUCUAUAUUAGAUUGUGAGUCGUGUCAACUUGGGAAACAUACUCGAGCCACUUUUUCGCAUAAUGUUGAGAGUCGUGCGGAGUCUAUUUUUUCUUUAGCUCAUUUUGAUAUAUGGGGUCCUAGUAGAGUCAGUUCAACCUUAAGGUUUCAUUAUUUUACUAGUUUCAUAGAUGAUUACUCAAGAUGCACUUAGAUUUUCCUAAUGAAAGAUCGUUCUGAGUUGUUUUCUAUAUUUCAGAGUUUUUGUGCUGAAAUAAAAAAUUAGUUUGGCGUUUCCAUUGGCGUAUUUCGUAGUGAUUAUGCCUUAAAAUAUUUAUCCUCCCAAUUUCAGUAGUUUAUGACUUUUCAAGAAAUUAUUCAUCUGACAUCUUGUCUGUAUACCCCUCAGCAGAAUGGGGUAGCAGAGAGAAAGAAUAAACACCUCACUAAGACUACUCGCACACUUCUAAUUGAGUUUCAUGUUCCGCUGUGUUUUUGGGCAAUGCAGUUCUCACAACUUGUUAUUUGAUUAAUCAGAUGCCUUCAUUGUUCAAUCAAUAGCGACUCCGUAUUCAGUAUUGUUUCCUCAGUCUUAUACUAUCUUCCCCCUUGUAUGUUUGGGAGCACAUGUUUCGUUUGUAUGGAAGCGAUAAAUUAGCUCUCCGUGCUCUUAAGUGUGUCUUCCUUGGUUGUUCUCGAGUUUAAAAGGAAUAUCGUUGCUACUCACAUGAUCUUCGUAGGUACCUUAUGUCAGCCGAUGUCACAUUUCUUGAGUCUCGACCUUACUUUACCCCUUCUGAACACUUUGAUAUUAGAGGUCUUACCUAUACCAACUCUUGAGGAGUUUACUAUAACUCCUUCUGCAUCUUUUGCCACAAAAGUCUUACCAAUACUAACCAUUGAGGAAUCUAGUAUUGCUCCUCCUAGAUCCCCAGCCACAGGAACACCACUUUUGACUUAUCAUCGGUGUCCACAUCUAGCAUUAGGCCCGACUGAUUCACGUCCUGCACCUGACCCUGCUCCUACUUCAGAUUUGUCUCAUCCUAGUCAACUGAUUGCACUUCGAAAAGGUAUAUGGACCACACUUAAUACUAAUCCCCAUUAUGUCUCUUUAAGUUAUCAUCGUCUGUCAUUACCCCAUUAUGCGUUUGUAUCUUUUUCGUCCUCUAUUUCCAUACCUAUGUCUACAGGUGAUGCAUUGUCUUAUCUAGGAUGGCGACAGACUAUGAUUGACGGGAUGUUUGAUGUACACACGGGAUGUUUGUUGUUCGCCAUUGGCCUCACUAUCAGUUGGACAUUAAGAAUGCCUUUCUUAAAGUGAUCUUGAGGAUGAAGUUUGUAUGGAGAAACCACUUGGCUUGUAGCUCACGGGAGUGUAGUGGUCUUGUUGCUUGCGCCGGUCACUUUAUUGUCUAAAGCAGUCUCCUCGAGCCUGGUUUGGUAAGUUCAACACAGUUAUCCAAGAGUUGAGCAUGACUCGUUGUGAAGCUGAUCAUUCUGUGUUUUAUCGGCAUUCUGCUUCAAAUCUCUGUAUUUAUAUGGUGGUUUAUGUUGACGAUAUUGUUAUUAGCGGCAAUGAUCAAGAUGGUAUUAUUAAGUUGAAGCAACAUCUCUUUCAACACUUUCAGACUAAGGAUCUGGGCAGAUUAAAGUGUUUUCUGGGUAUUGAGGUCGCUCAGUCUAGUUCAGGUAUUGUGAUCUCACAAGGAAAGUAUGCCUUAGACAUUCUUGAGGAGACAGGAAUGACAGGCUGUAUACCUGUUGACACUCCGGCGGAUCUAAAUUCUAAACUUCUACCAGGACAUGGGGAGCCGCUUAGCGAUCCUGCAAGAUCUAGGUGGCUGGUUGGUAAAUUAAAUGACCUCACAAUGACUAGACCUGACAUUUCCUUUCCUUUGAGUGUUGUAAGUUAGUUUAUGGAUUCUCCAGGUGAUAGUCAUUGGGAUACAGUCGUCCGCAUUCUUCGAUAUGUAAAGUCAGCUCCAAGCAAAGGAUUAUUGUUUGAGGAUCGAGGCCAUGAGCAAAUCGUUGAGUGUGAGCAUGUGAUUUUUGCCCUAUAUAUGAAUUACUCCCAGAAAAUUCAAAAAUAAAAUAAUUUUUGUUUGUUUGCAAUUGUUGGGAAUUUUCUGUUAUUUUUCUUGUAUUAUUUGCAUUUUUGCAUGGCAUGUUUAUUUGUUAAAUUAAUAAAAAAUACAAAAAUAUGUCGCAUUUGUAUUUAAGAUUUAAUUCUACAAUUAGGAGUAAUUAAGUUUGUUUUACAAAAUAAAAAUUACAAAAAUAGGCAUUUUUUGCUUUUUUAGCCUUUAAUGUCCAAAUUGUGUGAUUGUGUUUUAAUUGUAAUUUAAUUUUAGGUGAUAAUUAUUAUUAGGAGUUAAUUAUUGUUUUUAAGUUAAUUUAGUUUAUAAUUUAAUUUAGAAUUUUAGUUUUUAUUAAUUAGCUUAAAAAAAAGAACAAAAAAUAGAAGGAGUCAAAAUUGGGCCAAUUCUUGAAUUAAUCCCCAUGCCCAAACCAAUUUUACCCUACACCCAACCAAACCAAGCCCAAACCCUUAAAAAUCUGAUCCACCCCAUCUCCCCACUCAAUCUUGACCAUUGAUCUCUAGUAGAUCCAACGGCCCGGAACUCACCCAUUUUUUAAUAUAAAAACUGUUUAAAAAAACCUACCUCCCUCAUUUCCAAACUCCCCAUUCUUCCACUUCUCUCUCAACUCUCAAUACCUAGAGCUCCCCAACUCUCUCUCUUCUCUCUCCUUCCAUUUUCCGCUGCCACCCUCCGCCAUCGGUGCCACCGCCCGCCGGAAAUCUCCACCGGCGGUGGCCAACCUCCAAAAAGCUUCAAAAUAACGUCAAUCUUCUCCUUUUCUUCUCCUCUACCUCACCUCACCACUUAAACCCAUAAAAAACCAACCAUCAAAGAGUUAAGAAAUGGCCGAAACUCCCCCCCCCCCCCACCGGCGGCACCGCCGCCGGAAAUAGCCGGCGCCGGCGACAGAAACUCCAAAAACCCUCAAACUCAUACCAUACACUUCUCUCAUCCUCUUAAACUUUAUCCUACCAACCAAAUCCCCAAAAACCCAACCAAAAUCCGUAGAUCUUGGAUCUAAAAUGCCAAAACCCUAGAUCUACUUCUUUUUUCAUUUUUUCUAGUCAUUAUAAAAUCCUCCGGUCAAGAUCUUCCAUCAAAGAUCUUAGAUCCAAGACGGGAGUCUUAGCUUGAGGUUUUUU